Molecule: ribosomal RNA, 478 nt
Filed under: uncultured bacterium
Lineage: Bacteria
Description: partial 16S ribosomal RNA
Rfam family: Bacterial small subunit ribosomal RNA
Source: RNAcentral
GACGAACGCUGGCGGCAUGCCUAACACAUGCAAGUCGAGCGAGUUGAUCCCUUCGGGGUGAAGCUAGCGGCGGACGGGUGAGUAACACGUGGGCAACCUGCCUCAUAGAGGGGAAUAGCCUUCCGAAAGGAAGAUUAAUACCGCAUAAGAUUGUAGCUUCGCAUGAAGCAGCAAUUAAAGGAGCAAUCCGCUAUGAGAUGGGCCCGCGGCGCAUUAGCUAGUUGGUGAGGUAACGGCUCACCAAGGCGACGAUGCGUAGCCGACCUGAGAGGGUGAGCGGCCACAUUGGGACUGAGACACGGCCCAGACUCCUACGGGAGGCAGCAGUGGGGGAUAUUGCACAAUGGGGGAAACCCUGAUGCAGCAAUGCCGCGUGAGUGAUGACGGCCUUCGGGUUGUAAAACUCUUUUAGUAGGGAAGAUAAUGACGGUACCUACAGAAAAAGCACCGGCUAACUUCGUGCCAGCAGCCGCCGCAG